Molecule: non-coding RNA, 30 nt
Filed under: Rattus norvegicus (Norway rat)
Lineage: Eukaryota; Metazoa; Chordata; Mammalia; Rodentia; Muridae
Source: RNAcentral
UCCCCCACAAAAGCAGUAUUCUGAGAGUGU